GGAUCGAUGCCCGAGAGGUUAAUGGGGAUGGACUGUAAAUCCAUUGACUUAUGCGUCUACGUUGGUUCAAAUCCAACUCGGUCCA
Molecule: transfer RNA, 85 nt
Filed under: Prosopanche bonacinae
Lineage: Eukaryota; Viridiplantae; Streptophyta; Magnoliopsida; Piperales; Hydnoraceae
Description: tRNA-Tyr
Rfam family: tRNA
About the family: Transfer RNA (tRNA) molecules are approximately 80 nucleotides in length. Their secondary structure includes four short double-helical elements and three loops (D, anti-codon, and T loops).
Source: RNAcentral